AUGAUAACACAGCAGCCAAAUCUGCAUAAGGGAUCAAAGAUGAGUUCCCUCCUAACAAACAGCCCAACACAUUGCAAUUACAAACAUCUGGCGUCAGCUGGGUACAGAUGUCAUGCCAUGCCCACACCCCUAAAACCAUCAGGAUGCGGUCCAGAUGUGAAGAGGUCCAUCUCACGAAGGCCUCCAGCCACUCUCAGGACGCUGGAGCUCUUCAGCACCCCACUCACAUCUGUCUCCUCACGUUCCUCUCGGGGAGUCAGCCAAAAACACAUCACUCAGUCACAUCCCCGCAGACCAAGUGACCCAAGACAGCCAUGAGUGCUGUAGCGUCCAUCUGGGAUACAGCUACGCAGAGGUUGUUGUCUCAUUGUGUUUACUCAAAUAUGUCAUGUAAGUAGCAAAAUGAGGAUGUCAGUUUUGCCAUGCUGCUGCUUGUUUUCCUUUCAUUUAAUUUAUGUCAGAAAAAUACUAAGAAGUCAAUGGCUACCAUCAACUGCUUGGUUACCAACAUUCUUCAAAAUAUCUUCUUUUGUGUUCAACAGAAGGAAGAAACUCCUCAUACAGGAUAAGUAAAUGAUAACAGAUUUUUUAUUUUUGGAUGAACCUUCCCUUUAAUUCAUAAAGUUAUGUCAUUAAAUGUUGAAUGCAAUUCUAAAAAUGAGUAUCUUUCUGUGUUUUUGACAGGUUUUCCAAUAUGAAUUGAACAGCCCAAUCUCACGGCAGUUCAUACAUAUUUGACGAGAUUGUUAAUUCUUACGAAUUUGUAUGACCUCACUUGUACGAAUUUGUAUGAUUUGUGAAAAAAAUCGUACAGAUUUUAUGAGGUGGCAGAUUAGUAGGAAUUCAUAUGAAUGUCCACCCCAACCUUGUCCUAAACCUACCGCUCACAAGAAUUGUACAAGUGAGGUCAUAUGAAUUUGCCACCUUGUAAAAUACAUACAGUGGGGAAAAUAUCUAUUUGAUCCCCUGCUGAUUUUGUAAGUUGGCAAACAUGAAAGGUGUGUAAUUUUUAUGUUAGGCUUAUUUUAACGUAUAGAGACAGAAUACCAACCAAAAAAAAUUGUAAAGGUUGGAAAUUGAUUUGCAUUUCAGUGAGUGAAAUAAGUAUUUGAUCCCCAAGCAAAACAUGACUUAGUACUUGGUGCAGAAACAGUUGUUGGCAAGCACAGAGGUAAGACGUUUUUUGUAGUUGGUCACCAGGUUUGCACACAUCUCAGAAGGGAUUUUGGUCCACUCCUCUUUACAGAUUCUUUCUAAAUCCUUAAGGUUUCUUGGCUGUUUGGCAACUUAAAGCUUUUUUAGCUCCCUCCACAGAUUUUCUAUAGGAUUGAGGUCUGGAGCCUGGCUAGGCCAAAAAAUAUGGGAAAAAAUAUGUUACUGCUUAAUGUUGAUUGGUCCUUUUUUAACUUGUCCAAGUGUUUUGAGGAAGCAUCGUUAUCCAUAUAUUCUUACCUCUGAGUGCAGAUAUGUGUUUCCUGUGUGACUUUCCAUACAUCCUCUGAGAAGGUUCAAUUCACAUGCCACUCAGUGUAUAUAUUACAGCACUCAUGCAAUAGUACUUAAAUCGUCUCUUCCUGCUUGCUCUGAGAUUGAUGUUAUGUUUAGAGAAGUUUUUCUCUCCUCAACAUUCUGUUUAGUUAACACUGAAUUCCCUUUUCAUUCAUUAAUCUUUUGUUUAGAGAGAAAAAAAACACCUUUAAAGUCACAAAAAACGAGGGAACUCCAUAUCUGUAAUUCUCUGUUGGUGGGAUAAAAUGAUUUACUUUCUUUAAUGGAAUAUUUGUUUAUUCAUUUAUUCAUUAACUGUGUAAAUAUUUACUUAUUCACUAUUUAAUGGUUUAUUUAUUUAAAAAAUCCAUAAAUAAAGUAUUACAAAUACUAUUUUUAUUUUCUCCU
Cyprinus carpio (common carp) is the source of this 1896-nucleotide long non-coding RNA. The record is from Ensembl. NCBI's taxonomy places the organism in Eukaryota, Metazoa, Chordata, Actinopteri, Cypriniformes, Cyprinidae.